This is a long non-coding RNA of Bombina bombina (fire-bellied toad), 256 nucleotides long. RefSeq lists it as uncharacterized. The record is from RefSeq and is a predicted model, not a curated record. Lineage: Eukaryota; Metazoa; Chordata; Amphibia; Anura; Bombinatoridae. The transcript has 3 exons.
ACAUAAAAGUCCAGAGUAGCAGGUCAGGCUGUUGUCUUCUAUAGUGGUGAUAUGACAGCUAGAAAAGUACAUGGUUGGACAGGUUCCCACACUUCUCAUUGGAAUGCGACUCCCCAGCUCCUUCGAGAUAAGCACAAUGUCUUCUAUGAGAACAGACAGCAGAACAGAACACAUAAAUAUAUGUCCCAGGUGUACAUUUCAACUACAGGCUCUGCAUUCCAGAGAACUUCUUUGGAAAGAAAAAUCCCAGCUCAUA